CCUGUCUUUUGAGUUGUUCACAAUUUUAGGGUGGUUGUUCGAAUUGUGAUUAUUGUUAUCAAUACUGGUUAGGUUAAGUAUCCAGUACAUAUUUUGUGGGUUUCUUAUUGCUGGUUUAUUUGUUAUCGUUUACCGAGUGGCAAUGCAAUGCAAGGCAGUGCAGUCUUGUUGAUAAGUACUAAUUCCACAGGUACCACAUACUGUGCAUCCCCAUUCAUUGAAUGAAAUGAUUGACCUUCAUUUAAGAGUUGCGUGUGGGGAUGUUGAAUAUCAACCAAUGGAUUAGGGUGUCUGCGAAUCAGUAAAUGUGAUAUCCCCUGUGGAAUUACUCCAGCUUCCAUGGACACCAGAGAUUCUGAGGACUAGGUGCUGUUUCCCUGAAAUUGGAACAGCUGAAUUAAAUUCCUUCCUGACACUAGAAAAGGGGCACCAUGGUAGAAGUUCAGUCUGACUGCCAGAGACAGUUCCAGGCAGCUGUGUCAGUCAUCCACGCCCUGCCAAAAAAUGGUUUUUACCGGCCGUCCCAUGAGAAGAUGCUGACGGUUUUACAGUUACUACAAACAGGCGACUGUAGGCCCCUUGUAGCAUCAACAGGCCCGGAUUCUGGGAUCCCAUUGGACGCAUAAAAUGGGACGCAUGGAAAGCUCUGGGGAACAUGUCAAAAAAAGAGGCCAUGACAAAUUACAUUGAAGAGAUAAAAAA
Molecule: long non-coding RNA, 702 nt
Organism: Pristis pectinata (smalltooth sawfish)
Lineage: Eukaryota; Metazoa; Chordata; Chondrichthyes; Rhinopristiformes; Pristidae
Exons: 6
Source: RefSeq, a predicted model, not a curated record